AUUGAACGCUGGCGGCAGGCCUAACACAUGCAAGUCGAACGGUAACAGGAAGAAGCUUGCUUCUUUGCUGACGAGUGGCGGACGGGUGAGUAAUGUCUGGGAAACUGCCUGAUGGAGGGGGAUAACUACUGGAAACGGUAGCUAAUACCGCAUAACGUCGCAAGACCAAGGAGGGGGACCUUCGGGCCUCUUGCCAUCGGAUGUGCCCAGAUGGGAUUAGCUAGUAGGUGGGGUAACGGCUCACCUAGGCGACGAUCCCUAGCUGGUCUGAGAGGAUGACCAGCCACACUGGAACUGAGACACGGUCCAGACUCCUACGGGAGGCAGCAGUGGGGAAUAUUGCACAAUGGGCGCAAGCCUGAUGCAGCCAUGCCGCGUGUAUGAAGAAGGCCUUCGGGUGUAAAGUACUUUCAGCGGGGAGGAAGGGAGUAAAGUUAAUACCUUUGCUCAUUGACGUUACCCGCAGAAGAAGCACCGGCUAACUCCGUG
Molecule: ribosomal RNA, 489 nt
Filed under: uncultured bacterium
Lineage: Bacteria
Description: partial 16S ribosomal RNA
Rfam family: Bacterial small subunit ribosomal RNA
Source: RNAcentral